RNAcentral lists this transfer RNA (72 nucleotides) under Ovis aries (sheep). It matches the Rfam family "tRNA". Rfam says of the family: Transfer RNA (tRNA) molecules are approximately 80 nucleotides in length. Their secondary structure includes four short double-helical elements and three loops (D, anti-codon, and T loops). Lineage: Eukaryota; Metazoa; Chordata; Mammalia; Artiodactyla; Bovidae. The record is from Rfam by way of RNAcentral.
UCCUGGGUGGCUCAGAUGGUAAAGAAUCUGCCUGCAAUGCAGAAGACCCGGGUUUGAUCCCUGGGUCAGGAA